UCUGCCUACGGGACGCAGCAGUGAGGAAUAUUGGUCAAUGGGCGAGAGCCUGAACCAGCCAAGUCGCGUGAAGGAUGACGGCCCUAUGGGUUGUAAACUUCUUUUGUCAGGGAGCAAUUGAGUCCACGUGUGGGCUUAGCGUGAGUACCUGACGAAAAAGCAUCGGCUAACUCCGUGCCAGCAGCCGCGGUAAUACGGAGGAUGCGAGCAUUAUCCGUAUUUAUUGGUUUUAAAGGGUGCGUAGGCGGAAUAUCAAGUCA
Molecule: ribosomal RNA, 260 nt
Filed under: uncultured bacterium
Lineage: Bacteria
Description: partial 16S ribosomal RNA
Rfam family: Bacterial small subunit ribosomal RNA
Source: RNAcentral